Molecule: long non-coding RNA, 6581 nt
Filed under: Sus scrofa (pig)
Lineage: Eukaryota; Metazoa; Chordata; Mammalia; Artiodactyla; Suidae
Description: lncRNA (ENSSSCG00065049313.1)
Source: RNAcentral
AGGCUCGGGUCCCGCCGGACUGGAUACAUCUGUCUCUAUUCAAAGCUGCUGCCUGAGGCUGGGCUUCCAGUCAGCUGGAUGGCGGUGCUGACUCCCUGUGGAGCACUGGCAGGUCUUGGUGCACCGUCAAUAGACGCCCUGACUCCAAAAGGCAUCUGCACGUCUGUGUUCACCUCGGCAUUGUUCAAAGCAGCCAGCACGUGGAGUCCACCUAUGUGUUCCUGAGGGAUGGUGGCUAAAGAAGACAAGGUAUAUACACCGUGGAACACUGUUCAGUCGUAAAAAGGAGAUUCUGCCGUUUUUGAUGACACGUAUGGGCCUUGAGAUCAUUAUGAGAUUCACAUGUGUGGUAAAUUACAAGAAGAAAAUCCCAUCGGAAAACUGUAUGAAGACUGUUCUCAAGUAUUUCAGCCCAGCUUAGCAGAAGGGAAGGGAGAAGGCCCAGGAGGUACCUUCCAUCGACUGUACGCAGUGUUAACAAUCCUAAGAAAUCCUGGCUUGAUGACAAUAGCAGAUCUGAUUCAUGAAAAAUAUGAAGAAAACCUUGUGAGUGAAAAUUGGAAUCUACUUUGUGCACAUUUCCUCUUGAUUCAUGUUUUUGGAACAGAGAAUCAGGAGCCAUAUUUCCUGGGUUCAAACCUGAAAUCCACCACUUCCUUGCUGUGUGACUAGAGAUAUGGACAGAAGCCUGUUCCUCCCAGACAUGCCUAAACAUGGACCAUCACAGCCUCCUGACCCUCUGCUCCUACCUGAGUGACACAAAGGCUUUUGAUCAGGUUACUAGUUCAGGAGGAGUGUUCUGAUGUCGCUGAACCAUAGUCACCUGGGUCCCAGAAUGGCCUCCUGGAAGGUGACCCUCCUCCCAAAUCUGAACAUUCACCCUGAGGUCUUGACAUUAAUUUUCCAGUACAUACCAUGUCAAGCAGAGAAAACAUCAGUUUAGCUGGACUUUCCCAAUGACCAUGGACAUCUACAAAGACUGGCUCCAUCUGCAGUGAACUGCUGACUUAUCCCGUUACCAUCCCUCAGCCAGUUUCUGAGAGCAAAGACAAAAAAGAGAAGCCAGGUUUAAAAAUCAGGAUCAUGGCUCUUCCACAUCGUGCUGGAGGCAGGAACAAGAGUCCAACAACAGGUGCAUGUGUUUAUCUUAAUUUAAUUUGGAAAAGGUGUCAGUUGUUUGCAUAGGUGACAUCUCCCUGUUCUAAGGCUGUAAAGCUUUAGGGAGGGAGCAGUGCCCCUUUGGAUCUUCCCACUCCCUCUGUUUCCCCAGCAGAGAAAACCGCCACUGCUGUUUCCUAAAUAUCCUUGCAGAUCAUCUACGUGACCUCAGGAGUGUGUGUGCACAGGGGCUUUUGCUCACACACGUCCAAGCCUACCCGAAACCCAGCCCUGUAUGACGCUUUUUCACUUUAAAUCUUGUACGUCCUUAGAUAUCGGUACACUAUAAACUGCCUUCUUUUUCUAAUUGGCUUAUGUUCUGUUAUACAGAUAUGCCAAACUUUACUUAAUUUCUCCUCUGCCGAUGGCCUCUGACCUCACUGCCAGUACUCACUCUUGGAAACAGGGCUGGAGCGCACUCGUCCCUGUUUGGGUAGGACAGUGUACUAUAACAGGUGUGUUACUUAGAGAGGAACGGCUCCAUGAAGGGAAUUUUUUAGCUUUCUUGAGAUGCAGUUGACAUACAACACUGUGUAAAUUUAAGCUGCACAACCUAUUGAUUUGAUACCUUUACAUAUUGCAAAAUAAUCACUGCCAUCCCAAGUGUAUGAAGCACCUUGUCUUUGCUUAAAGCCUGAGGCAGCUGGGCUCCAGCACCUGCUGAGGGCCCCGCCCCAGGCCUCCAUUUCCCUGGUGAUGAGAAGAGGGAAGAGGGACUGAGGAGGCCAGGGUCACAGAGCUUCUCAGCUAAGGAUGAUCAAGGGCCAGAGGCCAAAGGGACCCCAGGGCACAAAGCGCUGUGCCCAGCCCAAGAAGCCCCGGCCGCUUCCAAAGUCUCACUGUCCUGUCUCAACCAGCCAUUGUCCCUAAAUCUGCAAAAUGGGGAUCAAGUCACUUAGCUCCGUGUUACUUAUUCAGAUAUUCAAUUGCAUAGAAUGUCUCUCUCUGGGACAAAAUAAAGGAAGCUAGGGCCCCAUCAAUUCAGAGUUGCUGGGGUUGAACAGCAGCAGUUAGAGGCAGCCUGGUUUGAGCAUCUGUGUCCGCUGUGGUCAGGGACUCCUUUCUUUAACUGAGGGGAGGAAAACACUCUCACCCUUGAGAUGGGAGAACCCUGGAUUUGAGGGGGGCAGGAGGCAGGGGGUGGGGGUGGCCACUGUUAAGGACAGGAGCUUUAGUGGGAGGAAGAAGCCCUGGAGCCUGGUGGACCUGUAGCCCUUAGGGAGCAACCUGGGGCAUGCGGGGCCUGAACAAAGUCUCCUGAGCAGCGCUGCCCUCUUACCUCCAACGUUUCCAUAAUGAGAAGCCUCCCAGUGGACCUCUCGUCCCCCUCUGUGGAGCCUAAAGUAGACAAAGCUGCAGGGCACCAGCCCUCGGUUGGUUACUUGCAGAGGCCUGAAUUCAGCCAAAGGCUUUGAUGAAAUGCAGCAGGGGGCGCUCUUAGCCAAACCCCGGCUGCCCUGAGCAGCUGCAUCCCUUCCCACCCAGACCUCAGCCUCCGUCCACCCCAGCCCAGAGCCCAGCAAUGUCCAUGGCAACGUCAUGUCAGUGUAGCUGUGAUGGGGGCACUUUCUAAGUCCGUUCAGUUUUAAUUAGUCAGCUGAGUUCCUUAUCAGCAACGGAAGCACCUCGUGUGAACUCGAGGGAAAUAGAGGAGGAUUUGGGGCAGGUGUGGGAGGCGCCCAGGGUUCUAAGCAGCCUAGAGCCCGGGGCCUGAGGAUAGAAGGGUUGGAGGGGCCAGCGGCUGCUCUCCUGGGGGUGUUGACAGGGACCUCUGCAAACUCAGCAGAGUUACCCGGCCUGUGUCAGGCCCCUCAGGGCUCCAGGGAGGGGGUCCUAGCUCAGGGUCUCAGGGGAGAGGGUUGUGGCUGACACCCCACCCAGUUGACCCUCAUGGGGAGAGUGCUCCCAGGGGUCGCUGGGCUCUGCUUCAGGAGGAGAGGGGACCCCACUGAGUUUCAGAGGCAGUGAUGUCCAGUGAGGCAGGCGUUGCUACUCCAGGCUACUUCGCUGUGGUCAAAGCCCUACCUUCCCAUGAAAGUGAUUCACCCACAGCAGAGUCAGUGGGAGUUUCUUCAGUGUUGUCAAGAGCUGUGGCUUUGAACAAAUGAACAGCUGUGUCACUAUGUUGCAUGCUCCCCGGGCAGAUGAGAGUGUGGAAAACUCAGUCCUUCCAGAAAAGGGUUCAGAGCUGUGGGUGUGAAGCCACAGCACUGGUCCAGAUUCUGCGGCUACAUGAGGACCUUUUCUGAGCAGGAUGCUCUUCCUCACCCCCGCCCCCCAGACAGAGGAGACGGGUUUUCCAGACCAAGGAUUGAGUCCCUUCCAGACCAAGGAUUGAGUCCCAAUCAGUCAUCAAGAUGUGUAGGCAGAGAGAUGAGGUAAGAGUCAAACUCACACGAUUUCAGUGUGUUAGACAAAGACCCCAGGGCAGUCCCAGAGCUCCCAAGUUCCACCCUGAUGUGCUAAAUGUGCUCCACCAUCCUUGCUUGAGGAUGUGUCACAUAGGAGCAAUUUGGGGGAUGGUGCAACUGGUAAUAACGUAGUAUUUAUUUCUCCUGGAAUUCUUACCUUGUGGUAAUUGUCUACCCAAUGAAACAAAAAUAUGUAUAGAAUUAGAAUGACAGAAAAAAAGAUUUACUUUUGCUUUUGAAGAAAAAUUUAAUUGCAGUAAAAAGGAACGUUGAUGAAUUUAAUCAUGAUUUUUAGUGAAAAAGAAAAACGUGAAAAGAAGGAAAAACCGGCCUCUCAUGUCAGCAUUGCCUAGCUGUGCACAUUUGGAUGCUCUAAGCCAUGUCUCUGAAUGUCUGCUUCAUCUUCUCUAAAACAGAAGUGGUGAGAUCCACUUUGCGAGGCUGCUGAAUGCACGCACGUCGUCCGGAGCUGUGUCUGCCACAGCAGAUACUAAUCUUCAGCAUUUAAAGGCAUCUCUGAUCCUCGGAGACCAGACUCCAGAGUGGACUCCAAACCUGGGUUGCUGGGAACCCACUGUGGGGCUAUUUUUAAAUUAUUGGUGGUUUUUUGUUUCUACUAACUUGACUUAAAGGAAAAUUAGCAUAUCAUUCUGCAGGAUUGCAAGACAUCCCACCUAAUGGGCCAUCGAGGACCCAGAAAGCUGUUUUCUCUCUGCCCAGAAGUGACUCGGGGUGGAGGUUGGGGGACUGGUCCAAAUGUUAAAGCCUCGGUGAGGCUGAUUCUCUGAGCCUGCUUCACGCGCGAUCCUUGAAAUGUUCCAUGACAUUUGUCUGUAAUUUUCUUACAUGUCAUUUUCAGUGUUAUGAGGGUUUACAGAAAGAACUCCCAUUUUUUUCUGCCAUCAUAAAAAUAUAGGCCUGAUUUUGGUUUGGAAGGAACUGAAAACUCUCAUUGAUUUUAAGGCAAAACCCAUCAAGAAAUCUGUCAGCUUCCACACCGCUGUUCUCUGUACCUCAGCUCCUCGUAAGUGAGCUAUUUAUUAACCGUGACGGUGAGGCUAUGUCUUGGGAAAAUAUCGACCCUCCUUCUAUGUACAGUGAAAGCUCAUCUCGAACACUUUCAUUCUCUUCCCCUUCCGGAGACUCACGUGCAUUUAUUUUUUUAACACUAAAAUAAAUUCACACCGAAAAAUAGAAAUCUAAAAUUAAAUAUUUAAUUAGAACUCUGAUUUGCUUUAAAGAUAGGUGGCAUUGCACAGGCUAUAUUACACUCUCUGUAUAAUUUCUUUUGACAAAAAAGAUACUGUUCAUUUUAACAGGUCACUUUAAUAUUAAUACAUGUGUAAUAGGAUCAGAACUGAACAUCAGCUAGGAUGGUACAUUGUACAUUAUUGGGAAAAUUACAGUUUUGUAUUGUAAAAACAUUUAUUUUUUAACAAUUUACCUACAUUAAUCAAAAAAUUACAGCAUAUUUAAUAAUUUUACAAAUUCUUCAUAAAAAAUAUAUCUCUGUACAAAAAAGGUCGUUUGCACCUACUUCAUGUCAGCAGCAUGUGGCGAGAUGGCGAGACAGUGGGUGAUGACGAUGGGUUUUUCCUGAUCAUAAUGCCAGCGUUCUUUCCCCCUUUUUAUAAUAGCUUUUUUUUUUUGUGGUUGUUUACAAAAUAUUUUACAGAAGAAAAAAAUUAUUGCAGCUAGCCUGAAGAAAGGCAAGAUGUGUGGGACAAGCAGCAGUUUGCACAGCUCUGAAGCACAGGACCUGUCAGCGGGGUGCCUCCCCUCCAUGAGCUCCAGCUGCUCCCGCCAGGAGUCUUCCACCCUGGACCCAGAAAGCGCCUUUGCCGACUGCUCCCACCAGACCCUCCCACACCUCGCAGGGGAUCUGAUUAACACUGCACACACCCCAGGAAGAAACUAGGCAGAAUUCUUGAGAGAGAAUUUCAUGGAGUAUUUUUUUUUUAAUAACAUGCUCCAAACUGGCAGCCAAGGACACUCUGACUUGGCACACAAAGGAGAGUCGUGUCUAAUCUGAUAUGUGGUUUCUUGUGUGUAUGUAAGUCCUGUCAUUUCAGGAUUUCGUAACGUUGUUGACCAGCAAGCGGGUCGGGGAUGUGGAGGGACAUUGACUCAGACUCUGAAGUCAGCAUCUUGCACCUAGUUUGAAUGACUCAAACCAUAGAUGCACAGACUUCCUCCUGGGUUCCUGGUUCCGGCUCCCUGGGUGUGCGAGGAGCCUGGCUCUGGCUGACCUCACCUGGUCUGAGGAGAAAAAGCCAUAUGGACCUCGGGCUGCAAAGCACAUCGUGGUAUGUUGCCAGGCUGGCCAGAGCGAAAUGUGCAGAGAACUCAGCACAGAAGACUGAGUUCAGUGCAUGGGGUGUGGAAGGUCGGGAAGAGCCCGAGGUGGGCGGCCGUGCCUCCAGCCGCUGCACCCCUUCCCACGGGCACCUGGACAGCGGGCGCCAGGAGUCCUGCACUGAGACAUGACACAGACGGACACACACGCCAGUCCUGAAGCUAUGUGUGAACAUGUUCCCCAAACCACCGAUGCCCUGAUGCCCGUACGGAAGGGAGAAGGGGAGUCAUGUAUCCACUACGUCAUCGGGAAAGAAGAGUGGCUGCGACUCUUCCUGGCCUCCAGAGGAACACUGGCUGUUUGAUCCUGAAUGUUUCCAUGGAGUUCAGGGGCUCCUGUGGGACCCUGUCCUCAAGGCAAUUUCAGAGAGUGAUGGCAGCAAACAAGAAACAAAUCGCAACGUAACAGGGGAGACUGUGUCGUGAGCAAAACCCCCAGGGCAUGAACUACCUAAAAUAAAUUACUAUUCAUAUCUGUACAUGGCAAACAGAAAUCGCUGCAAACCUGCCAUGAAGUGGUAUCAUUCCGACAGUAAGGGGCCGAUGGCAGGACUAAGAAUUAUGUGGGAAAUAAAAAGGCCUCUUUCCCCUCAUUGGGCAUCUUCAGUGAAUUCGACACAUAUAUGUGGCUAAAAGAAGCAAUAAUAAAAUAAAUCU